AUGUACAUAAAUUAAUAUGGGUGUAUGUGUAUAUGUGGAGGCUGAGAAUCGUCUUCUUCUUCGAGAGAUAAUAGUAUUUUCUAGUAGUUAAAGAAAUGAUGAAUUUUUGAAGAUAUGGGAGGCUUUUUCUAUGGGCAUGGACUUUGGGAAAAAAGAGUAAUUCUCAAAAGUUCCCAUGAAGAUACAUGUUUUGUGUCUUUUACCUUUCAUGUAAAAAUUCAUCUCUUUAUUCAUGUAACUUUUAGUGAGCACUGUCUUGUAACUUCCUGAAUUUACCGAAUUGGUGAGUUCGUAAUCAUAUCUUGCACAACCUUGCAUUUCUACCUUCUCUUCAGGUGCGAUCGCGUUCUUUCUUUUGGGAAGGGUAUAAAGCUGUUAAGCUAUAGGAGAAGUGAGCUUAAACUAUCUGAUCAUCGACCUGUGACUGCCUCUUAUAUGGUGGAAGUUGAAGUAUUUUCUCCUAAGAAGUUGCAGCGGGCACUCACUUUCACUGAUGCAGAAAUUGAAGAAGAGGACAUUGUAAUGGAUGGAAAUUGGAAGUGAUUUGAUUCAGGGAAGAUCAGGAUAGCAGCCUUGGGAAUGCUAACCUGUGGAAAAUGAGGGAGAUCCUGCAAGCGAGAACAUUCCCUAUGACAUUCAGAGGAGGACGAAGAUAUGAGCGAGCAUCCAUGACUUGUGGAGCUCCUGGGAUCAUUUCCUAGUGAUGCAUUCUUUUGAUUCUUUAAUGCACAGUGAUUGAGCUUGUACAUGAAAUGGUUAGUUUGUCAAUGUCUUUGAUUUACAUUCUUAUCUUCUCUUCCAUUUUUGCAUGUCGUUUAUUGUAAUAUAUUAUCUUUUGAAGGCAUUUUAGUGAUAA
This is a long non-coding RNA of Olea europaea var. sylvestris, 856 nucleotides long. RefSeq lists it as uncharacterized. The record is from RefSeq and is a predicted model, not a curated record. The transcript is spliced from 2 exons. NCBI's taxonomy places the organism in Eukaryota, Viridiplantae, Streptophyta, Magnoliopsida, Lamiales, Oleaceae.